UACGGAGGGUGCAAGCGUUAAUCGGAAUAACUGGGCGUAAAGCGUACGCAGGCGGUCUUGCAAGUGAGAUGUGAAAUCCCCGGGCUCAACCUGGGAACUGCAUUUGAGACUGGGAGUCUGGAGUACGGUAGAGGGGGAUGGAAUUCCGCGUGUAGCGGUGAAAUGCGUAGAGAUGUGGAGGAACACCGAUGGCGAAGGCAGCCCCUUGGGUCUAGAUUGACGCUCAUGCGCGAAAGCGUGGGGAGCAAACAGG
This 253-nucleotide ribosomal RNA is filed under the name uncultured bacterium. RNAcentral's name for it is "partial 16S ribosomal RNA". It matches the Rfam family "Bacterial small subunit ribosomal RNA", at positions 524 to 776 of the family's 1533-position model. The record is from RNAcentral.